RNAcentral lists this ribosomal RNA (830 nucleotides) under endophytic bacterium. Its description in RNAcentral is "bacterial SSU rRNA". It matches the Rfam family "Bacterial small subunit ribosomal RNA", at positions 660 to 1492 of the family's 1533-position model. The record is from RNAcentral.
GGUAGAAUUCCAGGUGUAGCGGUGAAAUGGGUAGAGAUCUGGAGGAAUACCGGGGGGGAAGGCGGCCCCCUGGACGAAGACUGACGUUCUGGUGCGAAAGCGUGGGGACCAACCAGGAUUAGAUACCCUGGUAGUCCACGCCGUAAAGGAUGUCGACUUGGAGGUUGUGCCCUUGAGGCGUGGCUUCCGGAGCUAACGCGUUAAGUCGACCGCCUGGGGAGUACGGCCGCAAGGUUAAAACUCAAAUGAAUUGACGGGGGCCCGCACAAGCGGUGGAGCAUGUGGUUUAAUUCGAUGCAACGCGAAGAACCUUACCUGGCCUUGACAUCCAGAGAACUUAGCAGAGAUGCUUUGGUGCCUUCGGGAACUCUGAGACAGGUGCUGCAUGGCUGUCGUCAGCUCGUGUUGUGAAAUGUUGGGUUAAGUCCCGCAACGAGCGCAACCCUUAUCCUUUGUUGCCAGCGGUUCGGCCGGGAACUCAAAGGAGACUGCCGGUGAUAAACCGGAGGAAGGUGGGGAUGACGUCAAGUCAUCAUGGCCCUUACGGCCAGGGCUACACACGUGCUACAAUGGCGCAUACAAAGAGAAGCGACCUCGCGAGAGCAAGCGGACCUCAUAAAGUGCGUCGUAGUCCGGAUUGGAGUCUGCAAUUCGACUCCAGGAAGUGGGAAUCGCUAGUAAUGGUAGAUCAGAAUGCUACGGUGAAUACGUUCCCGGGCUUUGUACACACCGCCCGUCACACCAUGGGAGUGGGUUGCAAAAGAAGUAGGUAGGUUAACCUUCGGGAGGGCGCUUCCCACUUUGUGAUUCAUGACUGGGGGAAGUCGAAC